UACGUAGGGGGCAAGCGUUGUCCGGAAUCAUUGGGCGUAAAGAGCGUGUAGGCGGCCCGGUAAGUCCGCUGUGAAAGUCCAGGGCUCAACCCUGGAAUGCCGGUGGAAACUGUCGGGCUAGAGUCCGGAAGAGGCGAGUGGAAUUCCUGGUGUAGCGGUGAAAUGCGCAGAUAUCAGGAGGAACACCAAUGGCGAAGGCAGCUCGCUGGGACGGUACUGACGCUGAGACGCGAAAGCGUGGGGAGCGAUCCGG
This 253-nucleotide ribosomal RNA is filed under the name uncultured bacterium. Its description in RNAcentral is "partial 16S ribosomal RNA". It matches the Rfam family "Bacterial small subunit ribosomal RNA", at positions 524 to 776 of the family's 1533-position model. The record is from RNAcentral.